GGGUUGUGAGGUUAAGCGACUAAGCGUACACGGUGGAUGCCCUGGCAGUCAGAGGCGAUGAAGGACGUGCUAAUCUGCGAAAAGCGUCGGUAAGGUGAUAUGAACCGUUAUAACCGGCGAUGUCCGAAUGGGGAAACCCAGUGCAAUUCGUUGCACUAUCGUUAACUGAAUACAUAGGUUAACGAGGCGAACCGGGGGAACUGAAACAUCUAAGUACCCCGAGGAAAAGAAAUCAACCGAGAUUCCCCCAGUAGCGGCGAGCGAACGGGGAGCAGCCCAGAGUCUGAAUCAGCUUGUGUGUUAGUGGAACGGUCUGGAAAGUCCGACGGUACAGGGUGAUAGUCCCGUACACCAAAAUGCACAGGCUGUGAACUCGAAGAGUAGGGCGGGACACGUGGUAUCCUGUCUGAAUAUGGGGGGACCAUCCUCCAAGGCUAAAUACUCCUGACUGACCGAUAGUGAACCAGUACCGUGAGGGAAAGGCGAAAAGAACCCCGGCGAGGGGAGUGAAAAAGAACCUGAAACCGUGUACGUACAAGCAGUGGGAGCACCUUCGGGUGUGACUGCGUACCUUUUGUAUAAUGGGUCAGCGACUUAUAUUCUGUAGCAAGGUUAACCGUAUAGGGGGAGCCGCAGGGAAACCGAGUCUUAACUGGGCGUUAAGUUGCAGGGUAUAGACCCGAAACCCGGUGAUCUAGCCAUGGGCAGGUUGAAGGUUGGGUAACACUAACUGGAGGACCGAACCGACUAAUGUUGAAAAAUUAGCGGAUGACUUGUGGCUGGGGGUGAAAGGCCAAUCAAACCGGGAGAUAGCUGGUUCUCCCCGAAAGCUAUUUAGGUAGCGCCUCGUGAACUCAUCUUCGGGGGUAGAGCACUGUUUCGGCUAGGGGGUCAUCCCGACUUACCAACCCGAUGCAAACUACGAAUACCGAAGAAUGUUAUCACGGGAGACACACGGCGGGUGCUAACGUCCGUCGUGAAGAGGGAAACAACCCAGACCGCCAGCUAAGGUCCCAAAGUCAUGGUUAAGUGGGAAACGAUGUGGGAAGGCACAGACAGCCAGGAUGUUGGCUUAGAAGCAGCCAUCAUUUAAAGAAAGCGUAAUAGCUCACUGGUCGAGUCGGCCUGCGCGGAAGAUGUAACGGGGCUAAACCAUGCACCGAAGCUGCGGCAGCGACACUAUGUGUUGUUGGGUAGGGGAGCGUUCUGUAAGCCUGCGAAGGUGUGCUGUGAGGCAUGCUGGAGGUAUCAGAAGUGCGAAUGCUGACAUAAGUAACGAUAAAGCGGGUGAAAAGCCCGCUCGCCGGAAGACCAAGGGUUCCUGUCCAACGUUAAUCGGGGCAGGGUGAGUCGACCCCUAAGGCGAGGCCGAAAGGCGUAGUCGAUGGGAAACAGGUUAAUAUUCCUGUACUUGGUGUUACUGCGAAGGGGGGACGGAGAAGGCUAUGUUAGCCGGGCGACGGUUGUCCCGGUUUAAGCAUGUAGGCUGAUUGUCCAGGCAAAUCCGGAUAAUCAAGGCUGAGGUGUGAUGACGAGGCACUACGGUGCUGAAGUAACAAAUGCCCUGCUUCCAGGAAAAGCCUCUAAGCAUCAGGUAACAUUAAAUCGUACCCCAAACCGACACAGGUGGUCAGGUAGAGAAUACCAAGGCGCUUGAGAGAACUCGGGUGAAGGAACUAGGCAAAAUGGUGCCGUAACUUCGGGAGAAGGCACGCUGGUGUGUAGGUGAAGUCCCUGCGGAUGGAGCUGAGACCAGUCGAAGAUACCAGCUGGCUGCAACUGUUUAUUAAAAACACAGCACUGUGCAAACACGAAAGUGGACGUAUACGGUGUGACGCCUGCCCGGUGCCGGAAGGUUAAUUGAUGGGGUUAUCCGUAAGGAGAAGCUCUUGAUCGAAGCCCCGGUAAACGGCGGCCGUAACUAUAACGGUCCUAAGGUAGCGAAAUUCCUUGUCGGGUAAGUUCCGACCUGCACGAAUGGCGUAAUGAUGGCAGGCUGUCUCCACCCGAGACUCAGUGAAAUUGAACUCGCUGUGAAGAUGCAGUGUACCCGCGGCAAGACGGAAAGACCCCGUGAACCUUUACUAUAGCUUGACACUGAACAUUGAGCCUUGAUGUGUAGGAUAGGUGGGAGGCUUUGAAGCGUGGACGCCAGUCUGCGUGGAGCCAACCUUGAAAUACCACCCUUUAAUGUUUGAUGUUCUAACGUUGGCCCCUGACCGGGGUUGCGGACAGUGUCUGGUGGGUAGUUUGACUGGGGCGGUCUCCUCCCAAAGCGUAACGGAGGAGCACGAAGGUUAGCUAAUCCUGGUCGGACAUCAGGAGGUUAGUGCAAUGGCAUAAGCUAGCUUGACUGCGAGCGUGACGGCGCGAGCAGGUGCGAAAGCAGGUCAUAGUGAUCCGGUGGUUCUGAAUGGAAGGGCCAUCGCUCAACGGAUAAAAGGUACUCCGGGGAUAACAGGCUGAUACCGCCCAAGAGUUCAUAUCGACGGCGGUGUUUGGCACCUCGAUGUCGGCUCAUCACAUCCUGGGGCUGAAGUAGGUCCCAAGGGUAUGGCUGUUCGCCAUUUAAAGUGGUACGCGAGCUGGGUUUAGAACGUCGUGAGACAGUUCGGUCCCUAUCUGCCGUGGGCGCUGGAGAAUUGAGGGGGGCUGCUCCUAGUACGAGAGGACCGGAGUGGACGCAUCACUGGUGUUCGGGUUGUCAUGCCAAUGGCACUGCCCGGUAGCUAAAUGCGGAAGAGAUAAGUGCUGAAAGCAUCUAAGCACGAAACUUGCCCCGAGAUGAGUUCUCCCUGAGACUUUAAGUCUCCUGAAGGAACGUUAAAGACGAUGACGUUGAUAGGCCGGGUGUGUAAGCGCAGCGAUGCGUUGAGCUAACCGGUACUAAUGAACCGUGAGGCUUAACCUUACAACGCCGAAG
This 2923-nucleotide ribosomal RNA is filed under the name Klebsiella pneumoniae. RNAcentral describes it as "23S ribosomal RNA". It matches the Rfam family "Bacterial large subunit ribosomal RNA". Lineage: Bacteria; Pseudomonadati; Pseudomonadota; Gammaproteobacteria; Enterobacterales; Enterobacteriaceae. The record is from RNAcentral.